GAUGAAGAACGCAGCGAAAUGCGAUAAGUAAUGUGAAUUGCAGAAUUCAGUGAAUCAUCGAAUCUUUGAACGCACAUUGCGCCCCCCAGUAUUCUGCCGGGCAUGCCUGUUCGAGCGUCAUUUCAACCAUCAAGCCCCAGCGCUUGUGUUGGGGGCCUGCGGCUGCCGCAGCCCCCUAAAAGCAGUGGCGGGCUCGCUAUCACACCGAGUGCAGUAGUUCAUCUUCUCUCCGGUCUUGUGAGGCGGGUUCCGGCCGUGAAACACCCCACUACAUUCAAGGUUGACCUCGGAUCAGGUAGGAAUACCCGCUGAACUUAAGCAUAUCAAUAAGCGGAGGA
This 338-nucleotide unclassified non-coding RNA is filed under the name soil metagenome. Its description in RNAcentral is "partial contains 5.8S ribosomal RNA, internal transcribed spacer 2, and large subunit ribosomal RNA". The stretch from base 1 to 120 matches the Rfam family "5.8S ribosomal RNA", at positions 35 to 154 of the family's 154-position model. The record is from RNAcentral.